GGAAGUAAAAGUCGUAACAAGGUCUCCGUUGGUGAACCAGCGGAGGGAUCAU
Molecule: ribosomal RNA, 52 nt
Filed under: Sarocladium strictum
Lineage: Eukaryota; Fungi; Ascomycota; Sordariomycetes; Hypocreales; Sarocladiaceae
Also listed under: 86 other names
Description: partial 18S ribosomal RNA
Rfam family: Eukaryotic small subunit ribosomal RNA
Source: RNAcentral